AAAACACCGGUUCCCGUACGAUUACCGAAGUUAAGCUUAAGCAACGUGGAGCCUGGUCAGUACCUAGAUGGGUGAUCGCUUGGGAAUACAAGGUGUUGUAAG
This is a non-coding RNA of Acanthosepion pharaonis, 102 nucleotides long. Lineage: Eukaryota; Metazoa; Mollusca; Cephalopoda; Sepiida; Sepiidae. The record is from the annotation of a GenBank genome assembly.